Molecule: long non-coding RNA, 643 nt
Organism: Tarenaya hassleriana
Lineage: Eukaryota; Viridiplantae; Streptophyta; Magnoliopsida; Brassicales; Cleomaceae
Exons: 6
Source: RefSeq, a predicted model, not a curated record
GAAAGAAAUUUACUAAUUUCAAACUGCUGGAGGAAAAGAUGGUUGGUCUUUGACAUCAUUGGAGGUUAGGUGUACACUAAAAGAUCAAUAAGGAAAGAAAAUAGUACCAUGAAGAUCAAUGGGGAAUGCAAAGAGUAAAAGAAAUGGCUGCAGAAUUCGUGAAUCUGUGUUUGUCUUUCACUGGCAGAGCAUAUAUAAAAGGUCUUCCCAUAUGAUAUCUUCAUCAUCGUCCAAGCUACACUUAGAGUUGUUAGCUUGCAACCGAUCAAUCUCUGAACACAGAGUUUGCAGAAGGACAAAGAAUACGUUGGGGUUGAUUGGAAGGCGUGAUUGGUGCAACUGAAUGCUUAUCAUGCUGUAUUCUAGAUCCCUCAGGAGCCCUGAUUCUAACAGUAUCUCCGAGAUGUACUUGUGGCAACACGACGGAUCUUCUGAAGCCAAGAGCCGUCUGGCUUGUAUCUUCAGCACUUAGAAUAUCAUCCUCUGUGGCAAGAGAAAGUCGUAAAGGAGUUAGCAUAAUGCUGGGUUGGCUUUUAUGUAGGCAAAAGAAGGUCUGGCAAAGGGGUAGUGGGGUACCAGUGUGAAGUUAAGUGCCUCACCUUUAAGGACAAUGGAUAUCUUCCUGACAGGGGAUGGGGAUUCA